AGAACGAACGCUGGCGGCAUGCCUAAUACAUGCAAGUCGAACGAACACUUCGGUGUUAGUGGCGCACGGGUGCGUAACGCGUGGGAAUCUGCCCUUGGGUUCGGAAUAACAGUUGGAAACGACUGCUAAUACCGGAUGAUAUCGGAAGAUCAAAGAUUUAUCGCCCAGGGAUGAGCCCGCGUAGGAUUAGCUAGUUGGUGAGGUAAAGGCUCACCAAGGCGACGAUCCUUAGCUGGUCUGAGAGGAUGAUCAGCCACACUGGGACUGAGACACGGCCCAGACUCCUACGGGAGCAGCAGUAGGGAAUAUUGGACAAUGGGCGAAAGCCUGAUCCAGCAAUGCCGCGUGAGUGAUGAAGGCCUUAGGGUUGUAAAGCUCUUUACCCGAGAUGAUAAUGACAGUAUCGGAGAAUAAGCCCGGCUAACUCCGUGCCAAGCAGCCGC
Molecule: ribosomal RNA, 443 nt
Filed under: uncultured soil bacterium
Lineage: Bacteria
Description: bacterial SSU rRNA
Rfam family: Bacterial small subunit ribosomal RNA
Source: RNAcentral